Molecule: long non-coding RNA, 231 nt
Filed under: Capsicum annuum
Lineage: Eukaryota; Viridiplantae; Streptophyta; Magnoliopsida; Solanales; Solanaceae
Description: long non-coding RNA (CANN_LNC006020)
Source: RNAcentral
UAAUUUCAAGAAUGCUCAAUCUAAAGCUGCUUUAGCUGCUUUACUGUUUUCUUCAAUAACCCCACAUGCCAUUGCUCUUGAUGAUGCAGCUCCAAUAGCCUCACCCCCACAAGUGAUGGAAGUUGAAGCACCAAACCCCAACACUUCAAAUCCAUUACCCUUUUCUCAAAAUCUAGUCUUGAAUGCUCCAAAGACUCAAGCUUCACCUGUUUCUGACCUUCCUGAAAGUAC